This 648-nucleotide ribosomal RNA is filed under the name Escherichia coli. RNAcentral's name for it is "bacterial LSU rRNA". It matches the Rfam family "Bacterial large subunit ribosomal RNA", at positions 1237 to 1869 of the family's 2925-position model. The record is from RNAcentral. Lineage: Bacteria; Pseudomonadati; Pseudomonadota; Gammaproteobacteria; Enterobacterales; Enterobacteriaceae.
CGUUCUGUAAGCCUGCGAAGGUGUGCUGUGAGGCAUGCUGGAGGUAUCAGAAGUGCGAAUGCUGACAUAAGUAACGAUAAAGCGGGUGAAAAGCCCGCUCGCCGGAAGACCAAGGGUUCCUGUCCAACGUUAAUCGGGGCAGGGUGAGUCGACCCCUAAGGCGAGGCCGAAAGGCGUAGUCGAUGGGAAACAGGUUAAUAUUCCUGUACUUGGUGUUACUGCGAAGGGGGGACGGAGAAGGCUAUGUUGGCCGGGCGACGGUUGUCCCGGUUUAAGCGUGUAGGCUGGUUUUCCAGGCAAAUCCGGAAAAUCAAGGCUGAGGCGUGAUGACGAGGCACUACGGUGCUGAAGCAACAAAUGCCCUGCUUCCAGGAAAAGCCUCUAAGCAUCAGGUAACAUCAAAUCGUACCCCAAACCGACACAGGUGGUCAGGUAGAGAAUACCAAGGCGCUUGAGAGAACUCGGGUGAAGGAACUAGGCAAAAUGGUGCCGUAACUUCGGGAGAAGGCACGCUGAUAUGUAGGUGAAGUCCCUCGCGGAUGGAGCUGAAAUCAGUCGAAGAUACCAGCUGGCUGCAACUGUUUAUUAAAAACACAGCACUGUGCAAACACGAAAGUGGACGUAUACGGUGUGACGCCUGCCCGGUGC